GUGGCUGUGGCUCAGUGGUGGAGCACUUGUCUCACAUGUGUGAGGCACUGGGUUAGAAUCUCAGCACCACA
This is a non-coding RNA of Ictidomys tridecemlineatus (thirteen-lined ground squirrel), 71 nucleotides long. NCBI's taxonomy places the organism in Eukaryota, Metazoa, Chordata, Mammalia, Rodentia, Sciuridae. The record is from Rfam.